GUCGCUUUGCCAGAGUGGUUAACGGGUUCGGUUGCUAUUUUCUAUGUCAAGUCCGAAUGCAUUUAUGCUCGUGUGUUCGAAUCGUACAGGUGACG
Molecule: non-coding RNA, 95 nt
Organism: Tulasnella sp. JGI-2019a
Lineage: Eukaryota; Fungi; Basidiomycota; Agaricomycetes; Cantharellales; Tulasnellaceae
Source: the annotation of a GenBank genome assembly